GACGAACGCUGGCGGCGUGCUUAACACAUGCCAGUCGAACGGAAAGGCCCUGCUUUUGUGGGGUGCUCGAGUGGCGAACGGGUGAGUAACACGUGAGUAACCUGCCCUUGACUUUGGGAUAACUUCAGGAAACUGGGGCUAAUACCGGAUAGGAGCUCCUGCUGCAUGGUGGGGGUCGGAAAGUUUCGGCGGUUGGGGAUGGACUCGCGGCUUAUCAGCUUGUUGGUGGGGUAGUGGCUUACCAAGGCUUUGACGGGUAGCCGGCCUGAGAGGGUGACCGGCCACAUUGGGACUGAGAUACGGCCCAGACUCCUACGGGAGGCAGCAGUGGGGAAUAUUGCACAAUGGGCGGAAGCCUGAUGCAGCAACGCCGCGUGCGGGAUGACGGCCUUCGGGUUGUAAACCGCCUUCGCCUGUGACGAAGCGUGAGUGACGGUAAUGGGUAAAGAAGCACCGGCUAACUACGUG
RNAcentral lists this ribosomal RNA (468 nucleotides) under uncultured bacterium. RNAcentral's name for it is "partial 16S ribosomal RNA". It matches the Rfam family "Bacterial small subunit ribosomal RNA", at positions 28 to 507 of the family's 1533-position model. The record is from RNAcentral.